CCAUGGCAACGGACGCCGGGUUCGUGACUCCCACCGCCCCGGGAGCCGCUCGGCUGGAGGUGUCACUGCCCAGCAGGCAUGGCCCAGGCUCCGACAGGGAACCUGAAGGAGGCGUUCAGGACGCAGCUGUGCUGGAAGCUCGUCAAGAACCUCGCCGUUAUUGAACAAUACCAGAGCCACCCCAGAUAUACCAUUUCAGAUGAUCUAAAAGUUGGCUUUUUCACCACAGACCAUGCUACCCAAACAGAUACCAAUGAGAUUUUGCCAGUAAAAGAAUUAAGUUCAUCUACACAAAAGUUAAUUCAGGUUAUUACAGCCCUUCAGGUGGAUUUUAGGUUCCUUAAAGAACUGGUUCAGUUGAAGUUUGAGGACAGUCUUCAAGAAGAGUCUUCAAAAAUCGUCGUUGCUCUCCAGGACAGGAUCUUAGAGAUGGAAAAGCACUAUCAACAGAAUGAGGAGAAUAUGAGAAAAUGCUUUCAGCAGCAGUUAGCUGAUGCCAUCGCCGUCGUCAAAGGAAUGUACCAGCAAUAUUUUGAUGUAGAGGAAGAAAAAACUUCUUUGCAAGAUGCAGAAAAUGUCAAGUUGGGUGUUUUGUCAAGAAAACUGAAAGAGAAAGAAGAAAUUAUCAAUGAAUUAAGAGAGCAACUAGAACAAUGUGAAGGAUUUGAAAAACUUGACACUUUUGCCGAGGCCAGCUCUUCCAAAUUAAACUUAGAAAGGGAAAACUGGGAGCACAGAACGGAAAACGAGAGACUGCUCAAAGUCAUUUCGGAUCUUGAAGAAGAACUCAAACUCAGUGUAAAAGAAAAUUCAAUAUUAGAAGAUGAACUUAUAAGUCUGAAAGAGAUCUCAGAGAAGAAUCAGAAAACUAUUCAAAAGUUAACAGAUGCUAGAGACAGAUUAAGAUACGAGCUUGAUAGUGAAAAAGUAUUAGUUCAAGAUAUGGUCACUAAGCACAAGGAAGAAAUGGAAGCAUAUGCCAAGAACCUGAAAUCAGCCAAGAAGAGAGAGCCCUCUGUAUCUCCGUGGCAGUCACAGCCCAAGAGUGCAACAUCUUUGAGGCCAGUUUCUGCCUCCAUGAGUGUACAGUCUAUCAAAAGUAAGAAAUCCAGGACAUCACUGAAAAAAAUGCCAAAACCAGAGCCAGAAGUGGACAGUUCAGGUCCCUCUCACAUCAGCUCCAAGGCUAGACUUGAGACCACCUCCACUGACAGACAGAAGUCCUCCAAGAGUGACAAAACAAAGGACCUUUUGGAUGAAGGAACCCAUGUGAAGGAAAAGUUUAGAUCUAAGACACCAACUGCAGUACAUGAAGAAAAGAAGGUAGAAGCAACAGUCCCUAAGGAGGAAGACAAAGAAGCUUUGAAAGCACAAAUAGAAGCAUUAAAAGCUGAGUUAGAGAAUGUGAAACAGAAGUUUGAAAGAUUUAGAAAGGAAUCAGAACGAAUAAGCAAAAACUGGGAGAAGAGAUUCAUGAUUCUCAGGAGCAGCUUUCAUGCACUUAAGAAUGAGAUGUUUACCAGGCACACACUGUUUCGUCAGUUUGCAAUACUUGCUGAUACAUCCUUCAAUUAUGUUAAAUCGAACCCCUUAUUUGUGCAGUCUAAAGCAAACUUGACGGAUACCACAUCUCCUCCAGCUAGUCAUUUCCCUUCAAUAGACAAGAGGCAUGUGGACACAAUGAAUGAUCAAGCAUCUUCAUCAAAAGCCUUUCACCCGCCUUUGAAGAGGUCAUCCAUACCGAAGAACGAUGCGAAACCACCUAAUGAAUCAGCACAGAGCAUCAGCCAAAGAAAGGUCUCUCUCGCCAUCCCCCACAUAUCCUGGCCUGAGUAAGGUCUGCCUCCCUGGUGAGGGAACUACUAUCACCAAGGCAUUUCUAAAGGCAAUGUACACUAUUUGAGCACCACACUCUAAAAUUCAGCACGCACCUUUUCCGGGCACCUUUUUAAUCCCUAAGGAAACUGCUCACCAGUACUGGGUAAUGGUUAAACUGGGUGAGUGGGGCACACAGACCCUGAGGGGUGGUCAAAUGCAUUCUGGUGCUCCCAGGAUCCCGGCUGUACCCGGCACCCAAGGGUGGGAAAGAUUGGACUUUCAUUAAAAAGUUUAAGGCAUUAAGCGU
Chinchilla lanigera (long-tailed chinchilla) is the source of this 2125-nucleotide long non-coding RNA. Ensembl annotates it as chromosome unknown open reading frame, human C10orf67. Lineage: Eukaryota; Metazoa; Chordata; Mammalia; Rodentia; Chinchillidae. The record is from Ensembl.